RNAcentral lists this ribosomal RNA (346 nucleotides) under Antargidium allucente. RNAcentral describes it as "partial 16S ribosomal RNA". The record is from RNAcentral. Lineage: Eukaryota; Metazoa; Arthropoda; Insecta; Hymenoptera; Argidae.
AUAAUAAUUAGUCUUUUAAUUGAAGGCUGGAAUGAAGGAUUGAACGAAGUAUAAUCUGUCUCAUUUAAAUUAAAAUUUAAAUUUAAUUUUUAAGUUAAAAAGCUUAAAUUUUAUUAGAGGACGAGAAGACCCUAUAGAGCUUUAUUAUUAAUAAAUUAAUUAAAUUUUAAAUUUAUUUAUUAGUUUUGAUAUAAUUUUGGGGCGACAGGAAAAUUUAUUAAACUUUUUUAAAUUAUUUACAUUUAUUUAUGAAUUUUUGAUCCUAUUUUUUAGAUUAAUAGAUUAAGUUACCUUAGGGAUAACAGCGUUAUUUUUUUUUAGAGUUCAUAUUAAUAAAAAAGAUUGC